GUCCCGGCCCUAAACGGUGCGCAUUUGCUGUAGGAGGAAUCGACCCCUUCUGUGGCGAAGCUAACGCGAUAAAUGCGCCGCCUGGGGAGUACGGUCGCAAGAUUAAAACUCAAAGAAAUUGACGGGGGCCUGCACAAGCGGUGGAGUAUGUGGCUUAAUUCGAUGCAACGCGAAGAACCUUACCUGGCCUUGACAUGCAUUUGGUAGAACCAUGAAAGUGGGACGACCCCGCAAGGGGAGGAUGCACAGGUGCUGCAUGGCUGUCGU
RNAcentral lists this ribosomal RNA (267 nucleotides) under uncultured bacterium. Its description in RNAcentral is "partial 16S ribosomal RNA". It matches the Rfam family "Bacterial small subunit ribosomal RNA", at positions 793 to 1055 of the family's 1533-position model. The record is from RNAcentral.